Molecule: ribosomal RNA, 500 nt
Filed under: uncultured Pseudomonadota bacterium
Lineage: Bacteria; Pseudomonadati; Pseudomonadota
Description: bacterial SSU rRNA
Rfam family: Bacterial small subunit ribosomal RNA
Source: RNAcentral
ACGAACGCUGGUGGUAUGCCUAAUACAUGCAAGUCGCACGAGAAAGUCUUUCGGGGAUGAGUACAGUGGCGCACGGGUGAGUAACGCGUGGGUGACGUGCCUUUAGUGGGGGACAACCUCGGGAAACCGGGGCUAAUACCGCAUAUGUAGUUUCUAUUUGAAUAGGAAAUUACAAAGAUGGCCUCUAUUUAUAAGCUAUCGCUAAAAGAUCGGCCCGCGUAGCAUUAGCUUGUUGGUGGGGUAAUGGCCUACCAAGGCUACGAUGCUUAACUGGUCUGAGAGGAUGAUCAGUCACACUGGAACUGAGACACGGUCCAGACUCCUACGGGAGGCAGCAGUAGGGAAUAUUGCACAAUGGGGGAAAACCCUGAUGCAGCAAUACCACGUGAGUGAGGAAGGCCUUCGGGUUGUAAAGCUCUGUCCUGAGGGAAGAAUGGCUAGGUAGCUAAUAUCUGCUUAGUUUGACGGUACCUCAGAAGAAAGCACCGGCUAAUUCCGUG